AGAAGAUACCAUUGAAAUGAUCUGUUCUAAUUUUGUCUUGGGAAGGCCAGGAUACAAAGAUUCAAGCCGAUGACAUGCUCAGCGGUCACAUGGACAGCAACCAAAGCAGGUCUAGAAGUCUGGUCUGUGGAAUGACAAGCACCCACUGGAGCCAUUGACCUGCAGAUGACAGUCUCCAUGAAUGAGGGCUCAAAGGAAAGUAGAAGGGCAGGGCAGCUGUGGCUCUGUGCCCUUCCACAAAAGCUACGAGGAUACAGGAUGAGACGAGGAUGGAGGGAAAGCCCAUGGGCAAGAAAGCCCACCCAGCAGCAGUGCCGCAGCACAUCAGUACUCUCCGCUCUCCUCAGCUGGGCCCACAGAGACUGCCGGCCAUCAGAGUGGAGCUCCCACAGUGACUGAGGCGACCCACAGCCUUGGUGGCUACAGGCUCUUCUUACGACUCUAGAGACUCUUACGGGUUUCAUCUUCAACUUGAAAACGCUGAGGCUCCCUCUCCUUACAGGCCUCCCCUCAGCAAAGAACGCCCCUCUCCUGUCCCUUUCAUCAUCUUUGGCAUUCAUAGGAGAUGGCAGCCCCGCUACAGCGGAAAGUCUGCUCCGCAUCAAAGCCGCCCGGUUUUGUUUUUUGUUUUUCAUUACGCUCUGCAGAGCUCUCAAUUCCCAGCAUCCCCGAGCCCCCGAAUGCUCUAAAUGCCAGCAGUGUUUACAUUUUUGUUCAGCCUACACGUCCUUUCCUGCUUAAGAACCAUGUGCCCUCUCUUUCGUCGUGUGGCCAACACACCCUGCUUCCUUCCCCUUCCUCUGAUUCUUCCGACCUUUGACUCAGUCACACCCAUCCUGGCUGGUAGUGCAGAAGGGAGCAUUCGAAAUGUCUCAAGUCCUCGCCAGUGCCCUCUGGCAUGGUUCUCCUUAGGCAGAGCAAAAAUAGUCCAGUUACUCCAGGAGCCCCAGUUAUCAGUGUGUCCCAGUACUGAGCCCUGGUGUUACGUAUCUUAAUAACCGUUCUCUCAUUCACCUGAAGUAUGUUGUUCUACCUACUGUUCUUGUCCCCAGCAAACAGGAGUCAAAAAAUAAAAGUAGUGAUGUUUAGAUUUAGUAAAUUAUUUUUUUUAAUAAAUCCCGAGAAGUUCCAGUGCAA
Molecule: long non-coding RNA, 1137 nt
Organism: Rattus norvegicus (Norway rat)
Lineage: Eukaryota; Metazoa; Chordata; Mammalia; Rodentia; Muridae
Source: RefSeq, a predicted model, not a curated record